This 69-nucleotide transfer RNA is filed under the name marine eukaryotic metagenome. It matches the Rfam family "tRNA". Rfam says of the family: Transfer RNA (tRNA) molecules are approximately 80 nucleotides in length. Their secondary structure includes four short double-helical elements and three loops (D, anti-codon, and T loops). Further hydrogen bonds mediate the characteristic L-shaped molecular structure. tRNAs have two regions of fundamental functional importance: the anti-codon, which is responsible for specific mRNA codon recognition, and the 3' end, to which the tRNAs corresponding amino acid is attached (by aminoacyl-tRNA synthetases). tRNAs cope with the degeneracy of the genetic code in two manners: having more than one tRNA (with a specific anti-codon) for a particular amino acid; and 'wobble' base-pairing, i.e. permitting non-standard base-pairing at the 3rd anti-codon position. The record is from RNAcentral.
CGAGGUAGCUCAGUGGUAGAGCAUGCGCUUGAAAAGCGUAGGGUCGCCGGUUCGAUCCCGGCUCUCGGC